RNAcentral lists this ribosomal RNA (399 nucleotides) under Triticum aestivum (bread wheat). RNAcentral's name for it is "partial small subunit ribosomal RNA". The record is from RNAcentral. Lineage: Eukaryota; Viridiplantae; Streptophyta; Magnoliopsida; Poales; Poaceae.
AUGAAUUUUCCCAACUUGUCGAGCCAGCGGGCGCAGGAUCUGGCACCUCUCCCGUGGCUUUUCACCGACGAGGAUCGUCGUGUCCACCGGAGGCGGCAGCGUCGCCUCGCCAUCGCAGAGAAGGACGUGGAAGCCUUGGUGCUGUGGCGCGGAGGCUACCCGCAGGACAUCGUCGACGAGCGCCAGCUCUACAAGCAAUUGAGAUCGGAGAGGGACGCGAGGAGGAGGGAGCGAGCCGCCUAUCGGGAGGAUAAGCGUUCGCGGAAGCAGGCAGCUCAAUUGAAACCGAAGCUACAAGAAACGUCGGGCUGGGACUUUGAAGACGAGCAGCUUGCUGACGCCUACCUUCAAACGUCGGAGGAGGACAUUACCGAAUCGGAGUCAGAAAGCAAUGAGUAG